Molecule: unclassified non-coding RNA, 316 nt
Filed under: Hevea brasiliensis (rubber tree)
Lineage: Eukaryota; Viridiplantae; Streptophyta; Magnoliopsida; Malpighiales; Euphorbiaceae
Source: RNAcentral
GAGACAGGUAAGGUUGGGCUAAUGGCAUUCCAUAUGUUGGGUGAAGCUCAUAUGUGGUUCUAUAGGCCGGAGUAGGAAGAGUUGGGAUUAACUUGGAAUACCUUCAAGACCUAUGUAACCUGCGCUUCCUGUACAAAGCAAUCCAUUGGGAGAAUUGGUAAAUUUGAAACAAACAAGCACAAUAGAUGAAUAUCAACGCCAAAUCCAGUCAUUAUUGGCUAGAGCCUCAUUGUUCCCCUGGAUCAACAGGUAGAUCUUUUUACAGUUGGGCUAACUAAUAAUAUUAGAAUGGAUGUGGAAUUGUUGAAUCCACCAA